This 683-nucleotide ribosomal RNA is filed under the name Chondracanthus acicularis. RNAcentral's name for it is "eukaryotic LSU rRNA". It matches the Rfam family "Eukaryotic large subunit ribosomal RNA", at positions 306 to 1075 of the family's 3401-position model. The record is from RNAcentral. Lineage: Eukaryota; Rhodophyta; Florideophyceae; Gigartinales; Gigartinaceae.
UCAUCGAAGGCUAAAUAGCGGCUGGAGACCGAUAGCGAACAAGUACCGUGAGGGAAAGAUGACAAGCACUUUGAAAAGAGGGUGAAAAGAGCCUGAAACCGUCACGGGGGAAGCGGAUUGCGUUGGAUUGAUGGGCGCUUGUGUGUUCAGCCUUCGGGUGCAUUGGCACAAGUGCUUAUCCGCUGUGAGUUUUCGGGGGUCGAUUUUGGACCCCUGGGGACUGAGGGCUCCCUUUUUUAGGUGAGGACAGCGGAGUGACGACGCGAUACGACCCGUCUUGAAACACGGACCAAGGAGUCUAGCGCGGGUGCGAGUCGGAGGGUGCAAGCCCGUGGGCGAAGUGAAAGCGAGUUUUAAAAACGAGCAGUUUGGGGCGGCAUAAGAUCGUUGAUCUUAAGACCGACCCGGAGCAGUUGCGCUGGGACCCGAAAGAUGGUGAACUAUGCCGGAGUAGGGCAAAGCCAGAGGAAACUCUGGUGGAGGCUCGUAGCGGUGCUGACGUGCAAAUCGCUCGUCGAACUUGGGUAUAGGGGCGAAAGACUAAUCGAACCAUCUAGUAGCUGGUUCCCUCCGAAGUUUCUCUCAGGAUAGCGGGCCGACAAGUUGUUUUGUGCGGUAAAGCGAAUGAUUAGCGCAUUCGGGGGCGUUUAGCCUUUGGGCGAUUCUCAAACUUUCAAUGCGCA